This 385-nucleotide ribosomal RNA is filed under the name uncultured Halobacterium sp. RNAcentral's name for it is "bacterial SSU rRNA". It matches the Rfam family "Archaeal small subunit ribosomal RNA", at positions 1 to 382 of the family's 1478-position model. Lineage: Archaea; Methanobacteriati; Methanobacteriota; Halobacteria; Halobacteriales; Halobacteriaceae. The record is from RNAcentral.
AUUCCGGUUGAUCCUGCCGGAGGCCAUUGCUAUUGGAGUCCGAUUUAGCCAUGCUAGUCGCACGAGUUCAGACUCGUGGCGAACAGCUCAGUAACACGUGGCCAAUCUCCCCCACAGCGACGGACACCCUCGGGAAACUGAGGCCAAUCCGCCAUACACCUCUCACGCUGGAGUGCCGAGAGGCUCAAACGCUCUUCGGAGUGCUGUGGGAUGAGGCUGCGGCCGAUUAGGUAGACGGUGGGGUAACGGCCCACCGUGCCCAUAAUCGGUACGGGUCGUGAAAGCGAGAACCCGGAGACGGAAUCUGAGACAAGAUUCCGGGCCCUACGGGGCGCAGCAGGCGCGAAACCUUUUACACUGCACGCCAGUGCGAUAAGGGGACUCC